UCGUCAUUUGCAUUAUAAACCCAAAGUGGACAAGUACAAAGGAUGGAUACAAGCCCAACAGAAACAAACUAAGCCCAAAUACAAAUUAUGAAACGUGUUACAACAAAGGGCGAAAAAGAACACAUGUUAAUACACAUGGAAGCAUGCAUGUUGGUUGGAAAUCUCAAUCGCCGCGUCACCGCAAGUUUCACCGAAGUCGGACUAUCCUUUUUCCUCCGCAAAAAGUAGCCGAUUGAUUCCAGAUUUCUACACCACACAACCUUCUGCGUAGAUUACAAGUGUUUAGAGCAGAUACCCACCAGCCGUCUGAUUAUUGAAGCACGAGAAGUCGCAGUAAGUCCACAGAACAGAGCAGUCACAAACACGCUCUUCUGUUCUGAUAUGAACAAUCCAACGAGCUUUACAGAUCACGAUUCUUUUGCACACAAAGAACCUUCAUCCAAAGCCAACUCUUACGGCCUCGAUAGGGGUAUGAAGGAUUGUACCAGGAAUCAAGCACAUCGAUGGAAGAAGAGUCUCCGAGUAACACCCGGCUUUUGUCUCCUCCAACUGAGGAAGAUCUAUGAACCGCAAAAAGAUUAAAAAAAAACUAAAAAAUUAAUAAAAUAAAAACCUAAAUAUGAAUACAGUCGGGAAUUUUAUUAUCCGGGUAACGCCAAAAGACCAAAGAAAAGAAACCAAAUAUGUUGGAGAGAAAUUCGAACAUAAUCGGAGAUAAUUAUAAGAGAAGAUAAGAGUUUUUCUUUAGUUUAAAAUAUCUGAUAGAGAGAAAGCUCUCUAAAAAGUAUACCAAAAUAAUAUAUUUUUUAUAAAAAGAUAAUAUAUGUUUAUUCAUAAAUUAAGUUUUUUUAACAAAGAGCUUUCAUCAAAUAUACCAGUACAAGAACAUAAAACAGAUAUUGGGUUACCACUCGUGCUUUUGUUUUUGACCAAUUUUUUUUUUUUUUUUGGUAUGAGACAAACGUAAAUGAGUUGGCAUGCAUAUAUUUUAUUAAAUAUAUACUUAUCUGCACUGUCUAUUUUUCUAUAUUAUUUUUAAGGGACAGAUUGUCCCCAACAUUCAUUUUCUCUGUUUAUAUUAAUUCUUUAGUGUCUUAAAGAAAACAUUACAACGAGGGGGUAUAGAGUAUGUCCCCAUUUUCAUGACAAAAAUGAAUGAAAAAUAACUUGUAGAGAAAUGUGCAUUUGAUUGUGAAUUAUACGUAAAAAAUAAUGAGCAUCUGAGUGUUAAUAUCUUUACACUAAUAUAUAAAUAUGUAUACAAUAAAUUAUAGAUAUAUCGGUUGACAAAGAAUAUAGAUUUAAUUAACUAUACAUAUAUACCAUCAAAAUAGUAGUAUAUAUAUAUAUAUAUAAUUACUUGGUUAGUAUUUGCGGGAUGCCGGGAUCAAAGAUCUAAUUAAAUAAAAUUAGAAACAUUCCAUUACGGAGAAGCAAAAACUCACAUGGGUAGUUGAAAUUUUUAAGAACGACUCAAUAUUUUAUUUGUUUCAUUCUUUUAAUGUGUCUUUAUCGUCGACUGAUUAAUUUAACUUAACCCUUGGUACAAAAAAUAUAAAAAAAGAUAAAUAAAUUGGACUUUUAUCAAUCUCACCUGUGUCCUGCAAUUAUGCCUUAAAAUCUUGGUUUACAAAACCUUCCAUGAUUUCUUUUUUCUUUCUUUCUUUUUUUUUUCCGGGUAAACUUUUCUUUUAAUAAAAC
RNAcentral lists this long non-coding RNA (1701 nucleotides) under Eutrema salsugineum. Its description in RNAcentral is "long non-coding RNA (ESAL_LNC000918)". The record is from RNAcentral. Lineage: Eukaryota; Viridiplantae; Streptophyta; Magnoliopsida; Brassicales; Brassicaceae.